This 66-nucleotide transfer RNA is filed under the name Eocanthecona thomsoni. RNAcentral describes it as "tRNA-Tyr". RNAcentral also lists the same sequence under 1 other name. Lineage: Eukaryota; Metazoa; Arthropoda; Insecta; Hemiptera; Pentatomidae. The record is from RNAcentral.
AAUAGAGUGACUGAAAAUUUAGGUGAUAAAUUGUAAAUUUAUUUAUGGCUUUAUAGCCCUCUAUUA